GAUGAACGCUGGCGGCGUGCCUAAUACAUGCAAGUCGAGCGAACGGACGAGAAGCUUGCUUCUCUGAUGUUAGCGGCGGACGGGUGAGUAACACGUGGAUAACCUACCUAUAAGACUGGGAUAACUUCGGGAAACCGUAGCUAAUACCGGAUAAUAUUUUGAACCGCAUGGUUCAAAAGUGAAAGACGGUCUUGCUGUCACUUAUAGAUGGAUCCGCGCUGCAUUAGCUAGUUGGUAAGGUAACGGCUUACCAAGGCAACGAUGCAUAGCCGACCUGAGAGGGUGAUCGGCCACACUGGAACUGAGACACGGUCCAGACUCCUACGGGAGGCAGCAGUAGGGAAUCUUCCGCAAUGGGCGAAAGCCUGACGGAGCAACGCCGCGUGAGUGAUGAAGGUCUUCGGAUCGUAAAACUCUGUUAUUAGGGAGAACAUAUGUGUAAGUAACUGUGCACAUCUUGACGGUACCUAAUCAGAAAGCCACGGCUAACUACGUG
Molecule: ribosomal RNA, 496 nt
Filed under: uncultured bacterium
Lineage: Bacteria
Description: partial 16S ribosomal RNA
Rfam family: Bacterial small subunit ribosomal RNA
Source: RNAcentral